GUCCCUGUGGAGCAAGGCAGCUCACUCCCUGUGUAUAAGAGGUCUUGGUAUGAUACAAGGGAGAGAUGGUGGUUCGAAUCUACCCGGGGACG
Mycena galopus ATCC 62051 is the source of this 92-nucleotide non-coding RNA. Lineage: Eukaryota; Fungi; Basidiomycota; Agaricomycetes; Agaricales; Mycenaceae. The record is from the annotation of a GenBank genome assembly.